AGUGAACGCUGGCGGUAGGCCUAACACAUGCAAGUCGAACGGCAGCACAGUAAGAGCUUGCUCUUACGGGUGGCGAGUGGCGGACGGGUGAGGAAUACAUCGGAAUCUACUUUUUCGUGGGGGAUAACGUAGGGAAACUUACGAUAAUACCGCAUACGACCUACGGGUGAAAGCAGGGGAUCUUCGGACCUUGCGCGAUUGAAUGAGCCGAUGUCGGAUUAGCUAGUUGGCGGGGUAAAGGCCCACCAAGGCGACGAUCCGUAGCUGGUCUGAGAGCAUGAUCAGCCACACUGGAACUGAGACACGGUCCAGACUCCUACGGGAGGCAGCAGUGGGGAAUAUUGGACAAUGGGCGCAAGCCUGACCCAGCCAUGCCGCGUGGGUGAAGAAGGUCUUCGGGUUGUAAAGCCCUUUUGUUGGGAAAGAAAAACAGCGGGUUAAUACCCCGCUGUUCUGACGGUACCCAAAGAAUAAGCACCGGCUAACUUCGUG
This 492-nucleotide ribosomal RNA is filed under the name uncultured bacterium. Its description in RNAcentral is "partial 16S ribosomal RNA". It matches the Rfam family "Bacterial small subunit ribosomal RNA", at positions 29 to 507 of the family's 1533-position model. The record is from RNAcentral.